UGAUGUGUUAUAGAAUUGUUCUCCUGAAAUGUAUAUAAUUUUUUUAACCAAUGCACGCCAAUAAGUUCAAUAAAAAUAAAUAUUUAUUUUUUCACUUUAUACCCUAACAUUGCAGUUUCUAUACUUAUACCAAGUUAUAUAUGUACAAAAGUAGAAUUAAGGUAGUCAAACCUAAGUGGGGCAUUUAUCACCAGUCCUUGAGAAUUUUAAUCUCUCAAACUUGCAACACAUGCUAUUAUUUCUGGAGAAAUGGAAGUAAGGAAGUACUAGUUAAUCCCAAGAGGAGUUGUGUGACAGGAGCCAGCUGCUACAGUUGUGUAUCAGUGCAGAUGUGCUGGAAAAUCAGGAAAUUGAUUUGCUAAAUCUGAAAAUGGCUACCACCAUGCCAUGCUCAGGUCUGAUGGAUAUACCUUAGUUGACUUAAUUAAGUCAACAGUAGUCAAGAUAAUUAUACGAAUCAUUGAAUGUAUCUUUGUGCUAAAGUGGACGCCCAUUAUGCACAAAGUUGAAAGUGUCAUAGAGAAGAGCAAUCCUUUGUUUCUCUUUUCUUUUAGGCCUGAUGACCAAGUAGCACUGCUUUAAUGGAAUGAAGAAGGAGACAGGGUCACUGUCUUAAGGAUGCAACUGUAUUUUGUGGUCUGAAGCAGUUCCCGUUACUCUCAGGUUUUCAUGAUUCAGUUACUAGUUGGCAGCAAACUCCAACACAGAGUGUCGAAGGGUCAUUUAAAUUUUGCAUGAGUGUCUUUCCAGAUUAUGGGAAUGAUUUCUUCCCAUUAUUUGUUCCUACCUAGUAUACCUAAUCACAGAGGACAGCUAGAUGCUUUGACUUAAAAAUUGGGUAUAUUAUAUCCAACUGUACAUAAACAAUUUAAUUUUUUGUUUUGUAUAUAAAUACAGUAGGUAUAUCUCAGUUGGGUAUAUAACUCUUAUUUACUCCCUUUCAUUGAACCUUUUGUGACCCAUUCAUGUUUUUACACUGCUGCUUCAUGGGGGAAAUUUUUUUUCCGUAAGUUGUAAAGGGUAGAAUUUUCCUGGCAUUUUUCCUUUUUUGGCUAGCCAAGUAGUAUGCUGUGCUAAAUGGAAAUGUAGAGAUAAUCAAAUUUUCACUUGAGGAGGUGGAUGAAAAAAGAAACAAGAAAAUGGGCAAAAUAUAUUCAAUGAAUGGAAAAUGAAAAACAGAACCGUCUCUGAUGGGGGAAAAGGCAGCGGUGCUAAAUGCUAGGCUGUGUUGGCACUGAACUGGCAGUCUGAGGUUUGAAGACUUUAAUUUCUUAUGUUCACUUGGUAACUAUGGUACCCUUAGUUUGUGAAAUGCUUCUGCGAUCUUAGGUUAUUAGAAAUCAUUUUCUGCCAAAGACCAUGUAUGACCUUUUCAAAAGUACCAAAUUGCUUUUUGGGGGAGGGAUUCUAUCCAAAAUUAAAUUGAUAAUUAUACCAAAAACAGUGGUGUUUAUAGGUCACAUCAUUGAUUCCUCAUUUUAAAAUAGAAGUGGCACCAAAUUCAAAAAGGAAAAUAACAAAAUAGUGAGAGAUCUCCCCCAGCCCCUUUGUUCCUGUUACCCAGGUUUUCUCCUCAGAGAUACUUGGUAUUACCAGUUCUUACAAAUUCUGGGAGAUUUCUUUAUACCCAAGCUCUCCAAUGGUGAUGCAGUAUGAACCGCAAAUGCAAUUUACAAUUUCCUAGGCCCCACAUUAAAAAUGCAAUCUAAACGAUGCAGUGGUUAAUGUGAUUCAAGUUCUAUGGAACAAGGAAGUUGUCUUUAACCAAAUAUUGUACACUGAAUCAUAGUUGAAAUUCAAAUUCAUUACAUAAAAUUUAAAUUUAAAUCCUGAGUCACACUAGCCAUAUCUCUGUGUUGAAGAGUCUUUAGGUGGUUCUUGGCUCUCAUAUUGAACAGUGCAUCUCCUUAAACUUAGGAGCAAAUGACUAAUACAUGCGUAUUGCUUUUUUCUCUUUUAUACACAAUUAGUUCUGCUUUGUACUUUGCAGUUUUACUUAACAAUAUGACUUGAUAAUUAUUCCAUUUCAUUACAUAAAGGGCUCUAUUUUUCCCUAGCUGCGUAUUUUCUUUGGAGGGAUGAACCAUGAUUUAUAAAACCAGCAGCAAUUGAUGGGUUCAUAUGUUUCCUCUUUUUCACCUUUACUCUGGUUAAGUGGUCAUUUUAGCAUCUUUUAUGCAGUUUACAACCUACUUUGCUUAUAGUCUUUCUUGGUAUGUUUAAUUAAAUUAACUAGAUGGUGAACCCCUAAAAAGCAGAGGCUAUAUUCUGGACUACUUUUGUGUAUACUGGUGGGUUUAAUUUAAUUAGUUGCACAUACCUAGAUACAUAAUGAUCAGUUAUUGGAUAGGUAUUUGAAUUUGUGUGAACCUGAGCAAGAGGUCAGUGUUGGGG
This is a long non-coding RNA of Pipistrellus kuhlii (Kuhl's pipistrelle), 2394 nucleotides long. RefSeq lists it as uncharacterized. NCBI's taxonomy places the organism in Eukaryota, Metazoa, Chordata, Mammalia, Chiroptera, Vespertilionidae. The transcript has 2 exons. The record is from RefSeq and is a predicted model, not a curated record.